UACGGAGGAUCCAAGCGUUGUCCGGAUUUAUUGGGUUUAAAGGGUGCGUAGGCGGAUGAUUAAGUCAGUGGUGAAAGCCGGCAGCUCAACUGUCGAACUGCCAUUGAAACUGAUCGUCUUGAAUCUAGUAGAGGUAGGCGGAAUGUAUCAUGUAGCAGUGAAAUGCUUAGAUAUGAUACAGAACACCAAUUGCGAAAGCAGCUUACUAUGCUAGUAUUGACGCUGAGGCACGAAAGCGUGGGGAUCAAACAGG
This 253-nucleotide ribosomal RNA is filed under the name uncultured bacterium. RNAcentral describes it as "partial 16S ribosomal RNA". It matches the Rfam family "Bacterial small subunit ribosomal RNA", at positions 524 to 776 of the family's 1533-position model. The record is from RNAcentral.